AAUCUGCCUGGUAGUGGGGGAUAACGUUUCGAAAGGAACGCUAAUACCGCAUACGUCCUACGGGAGAAAGUGGGGGAUCUUCGGACCUCACGCUAUCAGAUGAGCCUAGGUCGGAUUAGCUAGUUGGUGGGGUAAUGGCCCACCAAGGCGACGAUCCGUAACUGGUCUGAGAGGAUGAUCAGUCACACUGGAACUGAGACACGGUCCAGACUCCUACGGGAGGCAGCAGUGGGGAAUAUUGGACAAUGGGCGAAAGCCUGAUCCAGCCAUGCCGCGUGUGUGAAGAAGGUCUUCGGAUUGUAAAGCACUUUAAGUUGGGAGGAAGGGCAGUAAGUUAAUACCUUGCUGUUUUGACGUUACCAACAGAAUAAGCACCGGCUAACUUCGUGCCAGCAGCCGCGGUAAUACGAAGGGUGCAAGCGUUAAUCGGAAUUACUGGGCGUAAAGCGCGCGUAGGUGGUUCAGCAAGUUGGAUGUGAAAGCCCCGGGCUCAACCUGGGAAUUGCAUCCAAAACUACUGAGCUAGAGUACGGUAGAGGGUGGUGGAAUUUCCUGUGUAGCGGUGAAAUGCGUAGAUAUAGGAAGGAACACCAGUGGCGAAGGCGACCACCUGGACUGAUACUGACACUGAGGUGCGAAAGC
RNAcentral lists this ribosomal RNA (642 nucleotides) under Bacillus subtilis. RNAcentral's name for it is "bacterial SSU rRNA". It matches the Rfam family "Bacterial small subunit ribosomal RNA", at positions 123 to 760 of the family's 1533-position model. Lineage: Bacteria; Bacillati; Bacillota; Bacilli; Caryophanales; Bacillaceae. The record is from RNAcentral.